RNAcentral lists this ribosomal RNA (254 nucleotides) under uncultured bacterium. Its description in RNAcentral is "partial 16S ribosomal RNA". It matches the Rfam family "Bacterial small subunit ribosomal RNA", at positions 524 to 776 of the family's 1533-position model. The record is from RNAcentral.
UACGUAGGCAGCGAGCGUUGUUCGGAUUUACUGGGCGUAAAGGGCGCGUAGGCGGCCACCGCAAGUCGGUUGUGAAAUCUCUGGGCUUAACCCAGAAAGGUCAACCGAUACUGCGGGGCUAGAGUGCAGAAGGGGCAACUGGAAUUCUCGGUGUAGCGGUGAAAUGCGUAGAUAUCGAGAGGAACACCUGCGGCGAAGGCGGGUUGCUGGGCUGACACUGACGCUGAAGCGCGAAAGCUAGGGGAGCGAACGGG